GAAGGUAAAGGCGAUGGCUCUGGGCGUCAAGAGGAAUAGUAUUUGAGGCUAGGAAAGAUCGUUGUAGUGGUUUUAGGCUUAUGCUAUGAGACAUUUUGUGCCUAUUGGUUUGGCCAAAAAUUGUGAUGUAAUUUAUGGAUGUUUAACUUUAGUUGUUUGAAUGAUGCUUAAGUAUUUGUGCUGAUCCCCUUGUUUUUCAUUUUUGCAUUUUCAUAAAUCCUUUGAGGCUGAUUGUACGAGAAGCUUCUCUUGGAUUUAUGGCAAAACUCGUAGCAUAAAGGAACGAAAAUCGUCUUUCUUUUCAGAAAAAACGUCACCCCCCUUGCUCCUUUGUGCGAGGCUGCCAAGCAUUUGUGGUGUCCACGCUUUUAGUCAUUGAAUUUCUAGGCUUGAUGUUUGGUUAUAUGAUAAAAAAACAGCAUCGGAUUUGUCGCAAAACCCUAAGAACAAAGGAAUGAGCACCGUUUUCUUUUUUGAAAAAAUGUCAACCUCCCCCUCCCCAUUCCUUUGUGCGAAGGUUUUGCUUGAGCAACCAAAGC
RNAcentral lists this long non-coding RNA (539 nucleotides) under Setaria viridis. Its description in RNAcentral is "long non-coding RNA (SVIR_LNC001800)". The record is from RNAcentral. Lineage: Eukaryota; Viridiplantae; Streptophyta; Magnoliopsida; Poales; Poaceae.